AACGCAUACACUGCCAUACCAGCAGCAAAAGGGAAGAACACCGGAACCUUCCGCCCACCUUGCCCCGCAAACGACUCUUCAGCCUCCGUAAAAAAGCUGGGGAUUGGGAGCCAUGGGAUUUCAGCAUGCGCAAUGUGCGACAUUGUCGCAAUGACUCCAGGUGCUAUACUGGCUUCGGUGUGGAAUGAAAUCAGUGGCAGUUCCUUGACAGGAAGGCGGUGUUUUGAUAUGAAAUCUCUGCGCUUGUCGUAUGUGAGAUCUUCGAGAGCUCUCAUAUCGCCCUUUAUGAGUUUGCAUAUGAUGAACUCCAUGACUCUACGUGCCUCCUUGUCGCAGAUCUGACCUUCACGGAGGACAUCAGAAGCAACUGGGGUGCCACCGUAAGGGCUUUGGACCAAUGCCAGGCCCGCAACUUUGUCUUUUAGGUCAGACCAGUACAAGGCGAGCGCUGCAGCUGCAUCAACACCACCUUUGCUAUGCCCUAGAAGCAGUAUGCUUUUUCUCGAUCCCCAGUAGAGCUCUUCAAUGUAUUCUUUCAAUUCCCGGGCAUUUUUCUCCACGGAUGCCUCACUGUGGAUCUUGGCAAUAUGACAAGUUAAGCCCAUCUUUGAAAACAAUCUCUUGGUAUUCAGAAAAUAUAGUGGGCUAAGGUUGCUAAAAAGGCCGGGAAUUAGUAAAUAAACCAGAGUAUUAGGUAAACAGUGUUCCCCAUUCCUUAUAUAAUGAAGCACCUCCAUGAAUCUUCCUGUACCAUCCACCACAGGAGGUAAUCCACUUCUCUGCAACCACCCAAUGUCCUCUGAAGACCCCUGUAAUGUUGUUCUAACGCGACAUAUGAACCCACACACUUGAUCUUUAGUAUAUAU
Molecule: unclassified non-coding RNA, 866 nt
Filed under: Hevea brasiliensis (rubber tree)
Lineage: Eukaryota; Viridiplantae; Streptophyta; Magnoliopsida; Malpighiales; Euphorbiaceae
Source: RNAcentral